GUAGUUGAAUUUUCGUCCCACACGGGUAAUGUACCCAAGUGCGGGUUUGCAUUACUUGUUGCCUAUGCAUUGGUAAAACAAUGUGUAAGUGACUUUAAGUGUGAUGGAUGUUUUACCGGUGACACCCUCUCACAUGUGUAAUUUAUUGCACUGUGAAGAGAUGUUAUGUAAAAAACCCAUUUUAGUGCUCUUCAUCGAGUGCUAUUGUGGGCCGGUACAAUUACUUUGAACAAAUUAGAGUGCUUAAAGCAGGCUAAAUGUAAUGAAAAUUAUAACGCCUGAAUAUAUUUUGCAUGGAAUAAUGGAAUAGGACCUCUGUUCUAUUUGAUUGGUUUCUAGAUCAAGAGGUAAUGAUUAAUAGAAGCGGUUGGGGGCAUUAGUAUUACAAGGCGAGAGGUGAAAUUCGUAGACCCUUGUAAGACUGACUUAAGCGAAAGCAUU
RNAcentral lists this ribosomal RNA (441 nucleotides) under Psychodopygus panamensis. RNAcentral describes it as "SSU rRNA". The stretch from base 202 to 441 matches the Rfam family "Eukaryotic small subunit ribosomal RNA", at positions 733 to 955 of the family's 1831-position model. Lineage: Eukaryota; Metazoa; Arthropoda; Insecta; Diptera; Psychodidae. The record is from RNAcentral.